RNAcentral lists this long non-coding RNA (10421 nucleotides) under Glycine max (soybean). RNAcentral's name for it is "long non-coding RNA (GMAX_LNC003649)". The record is from RNAcentral. Lineage: Eukaryota; Viridiplantae; Streptophyta; Magnoliopsida; Fabales; Fabaceae.
UUAAGAGUAAAAUUUAGUAUAAUUUUUUUAUCCUAGUUAGAAUUGCUUAACUCAGGAUCAAUUUUAGAUCCAAAAUCGAUUAUGAAUCUUUUUUAACAUAAAAUCAAACAUAUAAUUUUUGUUCUAAAAUCAAUUAUGAACUUGAAAAUAAUUCUUUUUUUUUUUUUUGCUUUUAACUCAUAAUCAAUUCUAACAUGAAACAAAGCACACAUACUUUUUUCUUGAUAAUUAUCGGAAACCUUGAGCACACACAAAAUGAACAUUUCCCUUUUAAUACGAUUUAUAACCUAAGGACAAAUUAUAAUUCGAACCCUAAACCACUUUUAUUGUGCCAAACUCUUAUUGAUCCAAACACAUAAUUAAUACAACUGAAUGGAUAUAAUGACUACAUUUUAUCGCCCUCUUUCAUGUAGAUGGAGAAUAAUGGAGGCUUCAAAGUCUUGGUCUAUCCCAACGUGGACUACGCAUUCAUAGUGACACUACUUAUGAUUAUUGAUGACAUCAAAGAUUAUGAUGUGUUGGUAAAUGCGACGGUGAGUAGUGUCCUAACUGUGGCGACGGGGGGUAUCUUACCUAUUCUGACAUUGUUUGAGGGAGAAAAUUUAGAAGAAGAAACCUUAGAUGGAGAAAACUUAGAAGAAGAAUACUUACAAGAAGGAGAAAACAACUCAGGUGGAGAAAACUUAGAUGGAGAAAACAACCCAGAAGGAGAAAAUUUAGAAGAAGAAACCUUAGAUGGAGAAAACUUAGAAGAAGAAUACUUACAAGAAGGAGAAAACAACUCAGGUGCAGAAAACUUAGAUGGAGAAAACAAUCCAAAAGGAGAAAAUUUAGAUGGAGAAAACAACCCAGAAGGAGAAAAUUUAAAUGGAGAAAACUUAGAAGUAGAAAACAACUUCGAAGCUGAAACUUAGACGCAGCUUCGUAAGUGAGUGCUUGUGGUAUUGUUCUCUAAUUGGCAUUAAUGUUUAUGUAGUUUCAUGUCAAUAAUAAUCUGCAUAAUAAAGGUUUUCAUUAAAUGUAAAUGCAGAUUAGUCAGCUGGUUAAAUUCUUAUUAUGUCGUCGAAGUUUUAUUGUUGUAUAUGAAACAAAUUAAAAUUAAAUCUUGGGCAUGAUUUUGGUUAGAACAGGUUGUAUCUUUUCAUUUUAGUGCAUGAAUAAAAUUGAGAAGAUAUUGUAAAUAAAAAAAGAUGUAAUAUUUUUCGUAGUUUUUUUAUAAAAAAAAUUGAGUAAUGAUAUUGGAACACUAUUAUUUUGAAUAUUUAUCAACACUUGUCAUUUUUUUUAUCUUUUUCUUUCUACCACGUCAAAUCACUAAUGCGUAUAAUAUGAAUGGACAAAAACAAAUAUAUCUUACAUAAUAUAGUAUCGAAGAUUAAGAGUCCGGAUAUCGAAUGCACGUGACAAAUUGUGUUCUUAAAAUAAUAUAUUUUAUUUUGCAACUAAGUAAUUGAGGAAAGAAAUUAAAUUAAGAUGGAUUGAUGGUCAAUUAUCUAAUGCAAGAUCAAAUCUAAACGAGUAAGAUAGUAUCGAGUAAGAUAGUAUGAAAGAGAAGAUGAUUUCAGGCAUACCAAUUCCACCAAUACUAAUUCUAACAAGAUUCUUACGAUUGUUAAUUGUCGAUUUUCUAAAGUCAAUUAUUAGUCAUUGAUUGUAGUCUAAUAAUGGUCAAUUAUUAGUCAUUGAUUGUGGUCAAUUAUUAAUCAAUUUCCUAAUUAACCUACUAGAGGUUAUCCAACCAGUUUGGCAUGCAGUUUGAUAUAAAACACUUUUUUUCCUAAUUCUACCAAUUACAUGUAAAUGAUUACUGUUAAGCAAUCAAUUAUGUAUUAGUACAUCCGUUUCCACCAACCAAUUUGGUCAUGUAGUUUGGUAUAAAACACUUUCUUCCUAAUUCUACCAUUAAAUGCAAAUGAUUACUAUUAUGCAAUCAAUUAUGUAUUAGAACAUCCAUUUCCAAAAUAGAAAUUAAAAGUAAAGAAGAUAAUCAAUUAACUAAAUGACAUCGAGAAUUUCAUUAAAAUUAAGAAAGGAGUUCAAACUAGGUUACAUCAUAAUAAUCGAACUAGGAAGACUAGUCGCUCAUUGUACACACUAUUACAAAAAAAACUUUUUUAACGUGUCUUACUUGGCAUCUUGCUUGCAUGAGUAAGUACAAGUGUACAAUCUGUUUUAAAUUAUGUGUGUAUUGGUUUGUUCUAAUGGAUUGGUUUGUUCGAGAAAUAGAUCAAAACAACUAGAAAGAUCAUGCAUCAAAGACAGAAAAUGGUGGUGAGUCUAGGAGGAUUUCUAGGUCUUUUAUACAAUGAUGUCAAUGUGACAUGUGAGCAUUUUCAUGGGAGAAAGAUAGAGAGAAAAAGAGAGAGGUAGGGGUGACAUGGAUGAAGUUACCAUUACCAAACAAUUUAAUAUCAUUUUAUUCCUCAAAUUAGUCACUUUAGUUCUUGAAAAAAAAAGUGUUAUGGUUACUAUAAAUUAUAAAAAAACACCCCUAAAAUCUUCAUUUUUGACUCUUAUUAUGUAGAUAAUGAACAACAUCUUAUUUUACUAACAAAGUUUGUAGAUGGCUAACAGUAGGGAUUAACUUGGAUAACAUAAUUCAAUGUCAAAGAUUUAUUUUUCAUGUAUCUAAUUUUAGGAACUAAUAUUUUUUUAUUGGUAAGAAUUGAGCAUGGUAUUAAAGAAUUUACAAUACUCACACAUCUUACUCAACCAAUUAAGUUAGACCCCUUAAUAUUUUAGGAACUAUACCCCCACAAUUUUAGAGACUAAAAUGAUGAUUUGAUCCUUUUUAUUUUUUGUCGAAGAUGAAGAAAAAAGGAAGAAAAAAAGAUUCAGAUUUUUUUUUAAAUAUCUUUAUAUCUAUUCAUAACUUUUAAUCUUAAAUAAGAAUAUGAUGCGUUCUUUGUUAGUAAGAAGCAACAAAGGAAUAAGAAUAACAAAAAAGCACAUGAUAGGAAAUGAGAGCAAGCUCUCCAAGUCAGAGAAUAUCCUCUAGACUCCAAAUUUCAUUCAAAUCCCUCGUACCCCUUACAAUGACCGCCUUCCUUACAUAUAACUGAAUUCCCCUCUCCAUUGAUUUUCUCCUCUAACAAACUUAUUCCCCCUCUCACAAAAGUCUACUGCUAAAUAGACAAAUUUUCCCUCUUGGGCCUGAUGGCAUAUACUUUAUCAAAUCUACUCUUGGACUUAAGUAUUUUGAGUUGCAAAAUAAUUUUAUAGGAUUUAAGUAUUUUGAGUUGUAAAAUAAUUUUAUAUUUUAUGAAUACUGUGACUUAUUAAAUAAGUUAUGAGAUUAUAUUUUAUUAUGAAUGAGUUACUUAAAUUGCUUAAAGGUUUAUGACUUAUCUUUUUUUGUUUAUCCGAUAAUACAAUUUUUAAGUUUGAGGAUUUUAUUUUAUGGGAUUAUAUUUUAUUGUGAGUAUAUGUAUAAUAUUGAUUUUAAAAAAAUGUCCCUUACUAAUUUUUAAGUUUGAGGAUUUUUUUUUCAAAACUUAAAGAUGUGUUAAUUUUUUAAGGGUCCAAUUCUAUAACCAACCCAAUCCAAUCUUAUAUAUAAAAGUUAGAUUAGAUUAGAUUGAGUUGUAAAAAAAAAAGGUAAGCUCAAUCUAACCCAACCCAAUUAAAUUUAAUUAGAUUAGGUUGAAAAGGAAAUAAAACUUAACUCAAUCCAGCUCCUAAUCUAAAAUAUACAUACUAUGCCAACCUUCUUGGUAUUGGAUAGAAAUUUCACUAUUAAUUAAUAAUGUUGUAUUGUCUGCCAUAUUUUAGGUUCUAUAUUUGGUUUAAAGGUGGGAGGAAAAUAAUUUUAAUGAAAGAGGGAGAAGAAAAGAGAGGUGAUUACACAUUUUGUUUGGUUUAGAGAAAAAUAGAGAUUUUAAUAGAAUGAGAGAAAAUAAUCAUUUUCUUGUUUGGUUCAUAACUAGAGAAGGAAUUUUGAAAAUUAAUUUCCUUGCAUGUUUAUAUAAUUUUAUUUUCCAAAACAUAAGUAGAGAUAUUUUAGUUAAUACUCAUCAAAUAUGUUUUAAAUGUUUUUAUUUUUUUCUCCCAAAAAUUAAACCAUUAUAAAAUUUUAUAAAAAUAUAUCCCUACAUCCCUCUUCCACCAUUUUCUUUUAACCAAACACUAUAUAUGUUAGAGUGAAUUAAUUAGAAAGAGAAAAAAAAAACAAAAAGAAAGAAAGUAAUAAAUAUGAUAUAUAAUGUGACUAACAAGUUGAUCCGGUCAAGGUAAAAACAACUCAAAUUUAUUAAUAUAUUUUAAAAUAAUCUCAUUUUGGUAAUUAGUUUAUAAUUUCCCUUCUCAUCUUUCUCUCUUUUUUUUCCUACUUUGAAAGUAAUAAAUGUAAUACAAAUUAAAUAAACACAUUCUAUUUGGAUAAUUAAAAAAAGUACAUAUCUAAAAUAUACUAUGCCAACCUUCAUGGUAACCUAUAAAAAGUGUUUGGAUAAGAUUAUUUUUCCAAAAUCAAAUUCAGUUUCAGUCAAAACAAAAAAUAAUUAUUUCUACUUUUUCAUCAUAAUUUUGAGAACUUAAAUUGAUUCCAGUAGUUAUCCAAACACACCAAUAUAGGGUGGAUUCAAAAUGAAAGAAUAGAAGAAAAUAAAAGAUAGAAAAAGAAUAGUGUAAAUAUGAUAAAUGAUGUAACUAGUGAAUUGAUCCGGUCAAUGGUAAAAAGCAUCUAAAUCUCAUAAUAUAUCACAUUUUAGUCAUUAGUUUCUUAGAGUGUCCUGUUUUGGUGAACCAUUCCUUAGUAAAAUUACUCUUACCUUAAAGGACUUGCAUGUGUGUGUGUAUAUAUAUAUAUAUAUAUAUAUAUAUUAACUUUUGCAAAACUUUUGAGUGUAAGAGGAUUGUUCAUUCAUUUAUUACUCUAGGUGAAACCUUAUUUGAGUGUCGAAGUGCAUUUUGCACCCAUCCUUCAAAAGAAGAACCCGCUAAGCACACUAAAGCGAGAUACAUCAAAGUGAAAGAUAUAGCAAGGAGAAAGGCAUCUGGGCACUUCAAGCAUGAACAUCAGGUAUGAAAAAAUUUUCUCUCCUACCAAACAUCCUAUAGUUAAUGGAUAUUCUCUCCUCCCUAAUCCCCUUUCUACAUUAUCUUCUCAUUCAUUUCCUUCUUUUGCUAAUUUUCUUCCUACUAAAUGCUACCUUUUAAUUACUUUUCAAAUUUAUCCGAUGAAUUAAGAUAAACAUAUUUUUUAAAUUGAAUAACAAUUGUAAUAUUUGUGUGUGAAAACAAUUGUAAUUUUUUUAUUAUUCCAGUUAUGGGAGCCAAUUGUUAAACCACUAUUUAAUAUUCAUGAGGAUAAAAAUAUCAAACAAUUAAUGAUUUGUUUCAAGUGGCCUUAAACCGACAGUAUGCCAGAGGACUUGUUUUCUUGAGUAUAGGUUCAUGGACAUUUAAUUAUGGUGAUGAUGAUACACUCGAUUUUUCACUAUUUAAAACUGUAAGUUGAUCUAUCCACUUGAUGAUAACGAAACCUUUAAACUAUGUAUUCUUAAUUGAAAAUAAUAAAGUCUUCAUCAUUGCCAGCGGAUGCACAAGCUACACAUAAAAAUUAGGCUUAAUAUAUUUUAACUUUUUAAUUUCUAAUUUGAUGUAUUUUAUCUUUAACUUUUAAAAAAAAUUCUGAAUUUUACUUUAUAAAUUACUGGUCAGUAAAAUACAACGAAGGCCUUAGAUCCAUGUUGAAAGAAUGGCAAUCGGAGAGUGGAGGCAUAAUCUACUACUCCUACUUUGACACUUUUGCCUGCCAUCAACGACCUUAUUCAGACUCCAGCUUCUUAUGGUACCAUUUUAUACGUACAAUAACAUAUCCAAAUAUUAUUUUCUUUCUUAAUUCUUUUCAUUUCUUUAUUAAAAUUAAGAAACUUUCCUUUCUCUUUUAUUUUUUAUUCUAAUUCAAAUAACUUUAAAAUUUAUUAUCUUUCUUCUCUUUUAUUUCUUUCCUCUACCAAAAGAUGUUUAUUAGUUUUGUUUUGAGUAAAUGACCAUUUUAUUUUCUAAAUUUGUAUUUUGUUAUGGUUUUAGUACUUAAAAUCAAGAAAAAUUCAAAUAAGUUCACGAACAUUUUUAGUGUUUCACUUAAAUCUCUGAAAGUAACUUUUUUUCUUUUUCUUAUUUUGGUUCCUAAACUCAUGUUGUUAUUAUUACCUAAGUCCUCGUACUAGGGGUCAAAAUGAAAAAAGAAAAGAUGUUAGGUUAAGAGACUUAUUUGGUGAGAUACAAAUUUAGGAAAUGAAUUGGCUAUUUACUCUUUUGUUUUUAUAAAGUUGAUUUCUAAUUAAAAUAAGUUUAAAUCACUUUUCAGGAUUUAGUGAGCCAGAGCUCCCAGCCUGCCAUUGUCAAACCUUUGUCCUAACAGAGACAAGAUCACAUCUUCUUUGACCAAUUCCAUCCUACGGAGGCGUUGCUCGUUUGUUUGUUAUUUGUUAAUAAACUUUUUUAUGGCCCUUCAAGUUACACAUUGUAGAAAAUAAUAUUAUAAAAUGUAACAAUUUUAUUAUAUAUAACCCAUUGAUGGCCCUUCAUAUUUAUCCAAUAGCUUAUCUCUAACUUUGAACAUUAACAUUGCAAUCGCGCUUCUGUUUUUAUUUUUUUUAAUUUUGAAAUUUGUAAAAAAAUCUUUCAUUCUCUUUUCACUGCUAAUUUUCUUCCUACUAAAUGCUACCUUUUAAUUACUUUUCAAAUUUAUCCAACGAAUUAAGAUAAACAUAUUUUUUAAAUUGAAUAACUAUUGUAAUUUUUGUUGUUGUUGAAAACAAUUAUUGUUUUUUAUUACUCCAGUUAUGGGAGCCAAUUUUAAACCACUAUUUAAUAUUCAUGAGGAUAAAAGUAUCAAUCUACAAUUAAUGAUUUGUUUCAAGUGGCCUUAAUCCGACAGUAUUUGGAGGACUUGUUUUUUUUAGUAUAGGUUCAUGGACAUUUAAUUAUGGUGAUGAUGAUAGUACCAUGAUAUACUCGAUCGUUUACUAUUUAAAACAGUAAGUUGAUCUAGUCUCUACUUGAUGAUAACAAAACCUUUUAACAAUGUAUUCUUAAUUGAAAAUAAUAAAGUCCUCAUCAUUGCCAGCUGAUGCAUAAGCUAUCCAUAAAAAUUAGGUUUAAUUGUAUAAUUUUUUUAAUUUUUGAUGAAUUUUAUUUUUAACUUUUUAAUUUGACAUAUUUUACCUCUAAUUUUUAAGAAGCUUGUGAAAUUUAUCCUUCCCAUUUAUCUAUUAAAAAGCAUAAUAAUUGAUGGUAAAAUUUGUCAAAAAAAUAAAUAGUUCAAGAGUAAAAUUCGUAAAGAAUAAUAAGUCAGGGAUAAAAAGUACAAUUAUAUUAAUAGUUAAAUGAUGGGAGUAAAAUUCACAAGAUUCUUAAAAUUUGGGAUAAAGUAUAUCAAAUUAAAAAAAUUAAGGUAAAAUUCACCAAAAAUUUAAGAAAUUAAGGAUAAAAAAUACAAUUACGCCUAAAAAUUAUCAUUUUGUCUACCCCAAUGUUUUUUUUAUUUCAGCUUAAUUUAAGAAAUUAAGGAUAAAAAAUACAAUUACGCUUCAAAGAUAUUUACAAUCUUUCUAGUUAACGUUUUACAAAGAGUACUGUGUUUAAUUCAUGGUGGGAAUAAUGAAAAUUGAUUUUGAUUUGAUUUAAACACGAUUUUAUCAAAAUAUAAAUGCUUGGUUAUUGUUAGCUAAAGUUAUUUUGCUUUAUAAGAAGUGAUAAAAAGUAACUUUUAUGUUGAGUUAAAGAAGCAAUCUCGCUUUCAAGAUAAAAGCAUACAAACCCUUGUCGAUUUAAAAUAAAAUUUAAUAUUAUUUUCUUAUUUAUUUUGGUCAAAUAAUUUUUAAAAUUUAUUUAUCUGUUCCACAAUUAGCCUAUGAAACCGUUUUGUCUACGCAUAAUUAGACUUCUAAUAAACCCAAACAUAUUUUCAAAGACCAAAUCUGUAAAAGUAAGAAAAAAAUCAAUUAUUUCCUUAGAUAAAAAUUGAGAACAACUUGGCUAGUUUAAUCAAAUUUCAUUUCCCCACAUUUUGACAAAGUCAUAAGCUAGCUAGCUAAACGAACUACGACUUUUCUCACUGUGUACGUUUUCCAUGCCAAGUCUUCGGAAUCUUGGGCUCUGCAAGUUGAUGGUCAACUAGGCAGUUUUGCCAUUGGGUAAGUGGACCUAUUUAUAAAGGAUGGUCAAUUGAGCAAUUAAUUGAUUAACAUAUGUACCUAACAUAUGUCUAAGAUGCUUAUGUCUUUAACCAAGUACUAGUAGUUUAGAAUUUAAAUUUUAAUUAAUUAUUAGGUAUAAAAUAAAUUAUAUUAAAAAAAAACCUAUUUUACAUGUGUUCAAGAUUUCUAACGAAAAUUUAUUUUUAUUUUCAAUGAAAACAAUUUUAUAAUUAUAAAAAAUAAAACAUACGUGACCAAACACACAAUGUGUGUACAUAACAUAUGCUCUAUAAAUUAGCCUUUACUCCAAAAGACUAUCUCAUACCACAACACAUGUUUCCAAUGGCAAAUAAGUUCUCAGUUAUCAGCCCUUCCUAUUGUGUUCCUAACUCUCUUAACCUACAAAUUAACACAGAGAAAGGUGUUACUUACAACGUAAAGGGUAACCGUGUAUUUUACAUAAAAGAUACUUUGUUCACAUUUCACGGUCGUCGCGUGUUAUGUGAUGAUAAAGGAAGUCCCAUCGUCACUCUAUACAAGAAGGUUUGUUACUGAUCGAGGAGGCAUCUUAUACUCAUUUUUUUUUGAAUUUUUUUUCUAUUAAUUAAAUUAACUAAAUUGGUAUUAUAUAUUCUUAAUUUUUGUUUUUUAUCAGCAAAUAUUAAUUAUUAAUUUUAUUAGUUUUUUUUAGUAAAAAAAAAAUUGAAUCUAUAACCUCUCUUUUUCCUUCUUCCUUUAUCUAUCAAAUCAAUCUUAUAAUUAUUUGGUAUUCUUAAUUUUUGUUUAUAUGUAGAAUGUGACAUUGCACGGGCAAUGCAAAGUUUUCAGGGGUAAUAGCAAUGGUCCCUCUGAGUUGCUCUUUUCGGUGAAGAGAUCGUCAAUAAUCCCGAGUGGGAAGAUGAUUAGAUUAGAUGUCUUCCUUGAAAACAAGAGAAAAGGAAGCAUGUGUGAUUUUAGAGUCAUCGUUCGUGGAAGUAAAAAUUCAUGCACUAUUUAUGCCGGUGAAUCUCCAACUAUUGUUGCCAAGGUGUGUAUUGCAUGUGUUCUGGGCAUGUUUUUAUAUACACAUUAGUUUAAUUACCUAUCUAUUAUGGGUUUGGAUAAUUGCUGAUAUAAAGUGAUGUGUAAUUUAUAUUUAAAUAUUUUUAUGAUAAAAUUAAGUUAAGAGUAAAAUUUAGUAUAAUUUUUUAUUCUAGUUAGAAUUGCUUAACUCAGAAUCAAUUUUAGAUCCAAAAUCGAUUAUGAAUCUUUUUUAACAUAAAAUCAAACAUAUAAUUUUUGUUCUAAAAUCAAUUAUGAACUUGAAAAUAAUUUUUUUUUUUUGCUUUUAACUCAUAAUCAAUUCUAACCUGAAACAAAGCACACAUACUUUUUUCUUGAUAAUUAUCGGAAACCUUGAGCACACACAAAAUGAACAUUUCCCCUUUUAAUACGAUUUAUAACCUAAGGACAAAUUAUAAUUCGAACCCUAAACCACUUUUAUUGUGCCAAACUCUUAUUGAUCCAAACAAAUAAUUAAUACAACUGAAUGGAUAUAAUGACUACAUUUUAUCGCCCUCUUUCAUGUAGAUGGAGAAUAAUGGAGGCUUCAAAGUCUUGGUCUAUCCCAACGUGGACUACGCAUUCAUAGUGACACUACUUAUGAUUAUUGAUGACAUCAAAGAUUAUGAUGUGUUGGUAAAUGCGACGGUGAGUGGUGUCCUAACUGUGGCGACGGGGGGUAUCUUACCUAUUCUGACAUUGUUUGAGGGAGAAAAUUUAGAAGAAGAAACCUUAGAUGGAGAAAACUUAGAAGACGAAUACUUACAAGAAGGAGAAAACAACUCAGGUGGAGAAAACUUAGAUGGAGAAAACAACCCAGAAGGAGAAAAUUUAGAUGGAGAAAACUUAGAAGUAGAAAACAACUUCGAAGCUGAAACUUAGACGCAGCUUCGUAAGUGAGUGCUUGUGGUAUUGUUCUCUAAUUGGCAUUAAUGUUUAUGUAGUUUCAUGUCAAUAAUAAUCUGCAUAAUAAAGGUUUUCAUUAAAUGUCAAUGCAGAUUAGCCAGCUGGUUAAAUUCUUAUUAUGUCGUCGAAGUUUUAUUGUUGUAUAUGAAACAAAUUAAAAUUAAAUCUUGGGCACGAUUUUGGUUAGAACAGGUUGUAUCUUUUCAUUUUAGUGCAUGAAUAAAAUUGAGAAGAUAUUGUAAAUAAAAAAAGAUGUAAUAUUUUUCGUAGUUUUUUUAUAAAAAAAAUUGAGUAAUGAUAUUGGAACACUAUUAUUUUGAAUAUUUA